CAGAGUUGCAAAACUCCCUUAAACCAUCGCGAACGUACCCGUAUCGUUGCUUCGGUGGGCGGCUCCAGGGCGGAGCCGAAGCCUUCACGGGCGCCCGCCGGAGGACCUAUACCUAACUAUUUAUCCUAACCGGCCUCUCUGAGUAUUUUUAUAAUAAGUAA
Molecule: unclassified non-coding RNA, 161 nt
Filed under: soil metagenome
Description: partial internal transcribed spacer 1
Source: RNAcentral